Molecule: small nucleolar RNA, 104 nt
Organism: Perognathus longimembris pacificus (Pacific pocket mouse)
Lineage: Eukaryota; Metazoa; Chordata; Mammalia; Rodentia; Heteromyidae
Product: small nucleolar RNA U13
Exons: 1
Source: RefSeq, a predicted model, not a curated record
AUUCUUUUCCAGUUCAUAAGUGUGAUGAUUGGGUUCUCACGAGUUUGCUUGACAUGUGCCUCCCUCUAAACCUUCUUAUGAUGUGGUACAUUACCUGUCUGAUG